Molecule: long non-coding RNA, 72 nt
Organism: Solea senegalensis (Senegalese sole)
Lineage: Eukaryota; Metazoa; Chordata; Actinopteri; Pleuronectiformes; Soleidae
Exons: 3
Source: RefSeq, a predicted model, not a curated record
GAGAGAGAGAGAUGCAUAAAAGCACUAUAAUUGCAUACAGUACAUCCUGUAAAGGACCUGUCCAAAGUGUAU